Molecule: ribosomal RNA, 459 nt
Filed under: uncultured bacterium
Lineage: Bacteria
Description: partial 16S ribosomal RNA
Rfam family: Bacterial small subunit ribosomal RNA
Source: RNAcentral
CCUACGGGAGACAGCAGUGAGGAAUAUUGGUCAAUGGGCGCGAGCCUGAACCAGCCAAGUCGCGUGAGGGAAGACGGUCCUAUGGAUUGUAAACCUCUUUUGUCGGGGAGCAAAAGACGCCACGCGUGGCGUUCCGAGAGUACCCGAAGAAAAAGCAUCGGCUAACUCCGUGCCAGCAGCCGCGGUAAUACGGAGGAUGCGAGCGUUAUCCGGAGUUAUUGGGUUAAAAGGGUGCGCAGGCGGAAGAUCAAGUCAGCGGUAAAAUUGAGAGGCUCAACCUCUUCGAGCCGUUGAAACUGGUCUUCUUGAGUGAGCGAGAAGUAUGCGGAAUGCGUGGUGUAGCGGUGAAAUGCAUAGAUAUCACGCAGAACUCCGAUUGCGAAGGCAGCAUACCGGCGCUCAACUGACGCUCAUGCACGAAAGUGUGGGUAUCGAACAGGAUUAGAUACCCUAGUAGUC